Molecule: ribosomal RNA, 450 nt
Filed under: uncultured bacterium
Lineage: Bacteria
Description: partial 16S ribosomal RNA
Rfam family: Bacterial small subunit ribosomal RNA
Source: RNAcentral
GUGGGGAAUCUUCCGCAAUGGACGAAAGUCUGACGGAGCGACGCCGCGUGAGUGAAGAAGGCCUUCGGGUCGUAAAGCUCUGUCAUCAGGGACGAACGGCCGGUGGAGUGGAAAGCCACCGGAUUGACGGUACCUGAGAAGGAAGCCACGGCUAACUACGUGCCAGCAGCCGCGGUAAUACGUAGGUGGCAAGCGUUGUCCGGAAUUAUUGGGCGUAAAGCGCGCGCAGGUGGGAUCUUAAGUCCAUUGUUAAAGUUCGGAGCUCAACUCCGUGAUGGGAUGGAAACUGGGAUUCUUGAGUACCGGAGAGGAAAGCGGAAUUCCCCGUGUAGCGGUGAAAUGUGUAGAUAUGGGGAGGAACACCAGUGGCGAAGGCGGCUUUCUGGACGGUGUCUGACACUGAGGCGCGAAAGCCAGGGGAGCGAACGGGAUUAGAAACCCUUGUAGUCC